ACUCAAAUGAAUUGACGGGGACCCGCACAAGCGGUGGAGCAUGUGGUUUAAUUCGACGAUACGCGAAGAACCUUACCUGGGUUUGACAUGUUAGGGAAUCCGGCCCAGAAGCCGGAGUGCCUUCGGGAGCCCUAUCACAGGUGCUGCACGGCUGUCGUCAGCUCGUGUCGUGAGAUGUUGGGUUAAGUCCCGCAACGAGCGCAACCCCUGCCUUUAUUUGCCACCGGUUCGGCCGGGAACUAUAGAGGGAUUGCCCCGGUAAACGGGGAUGAAAGAGGGGACGACGUCAAGUCCUCAUGGCCCUUACGCCCAGGGCUACACACGUGCUACAAUGAUCGGUACAGAGGGUUGCCAACCCGCGAGGGGGAGCCAAUCCCAGAAAACCGACCUCAGUUCGGAUUGUAGUCUGCAACUCGACUACAUGAAGCCGGAAUCGCUAGUAAUCGCGGAUCAGCUACGCCGCGGUGAAUACGUUCCCGGGUCUUGCACACACCGCCCGU
This 500-nucleotide ribosomal RNA is filed under the name uncultured bacterium. RNAcentral describes it as "partial 16S ribosomal RNA". It matches the Rfam family "Bacterial small subunit ribosomal RNA", at positions 899 to 1397 of the family's 1533-position model. The record is from RNAcentral.